UGACUGGGGUGGGAGGGCACGGACCCAUGAUGCUGCUGGAGACGUUUAUCUGCACUGGACUAUUAAGAACUCAUCCUGGAUUUGUGCUACGGAGAAACGGAGGGGUAGGUCUACGGGGCUCUCACAGAGGCUCCGAAACCGAGGAGCUUGAGGACCCGUUCUUCUCCAUCCUGUUAUUUAAUCUUCUCCCUCUCGCUGUUUCACCUUUGCCCCCAACACGCUGUGCCCGUGGAGCUGGGUCUGGGAGAGCAGAUCAGACUUCAGCGGGAGAGACAUAGAUGAGGACGUUAGUGUAGCCAUGCCCAAAAGAACACGGGGCUUGUAAUUGGUGCAGUAGCCCAGGCAGGAGAGAGUACCAGCUCCCAGAGGGGAGGCGUGACUCACUUUGGAAAGGAUGGAGAAGAGAGGUUGAACUCCUGAUUGACACAGGCGCAUCUGAACGUAACUUGAGAGGUGUGGCAGAGCCACGCACGUUUCAGUCAGUUAGAAGAUGAUUAUUGUUCAGUUGAGCAGAGAGCGUGGGCGCAGGUCUGACACACUGACUGUAAGGGAGCAGAAGCCGUUCUCCCACAUGAAACAGAACGCUUUCAUCCGGAUGCAGCACCUCCCACAGUUCCUCUGGUUUCUCCAGUAGACAUUCCGUGCUCCUGGGAUGUCAACAUCUCCAAUUCAACAUGGGCUUCACCUUCACAGCUUCAUGCACAGGGGUUCCAUGCAGAGUCUCAGACAUCAGUUACACAUUGUCUGGUCUCAGCAGCUCUCUCAAGCCUGGGUGCAACUCUCCAUGGCCCCAUAAUUCUUGCAGCCAAUGUUAACACAACUGGAUUUUCCAGAGAGUAGUUUCCAAAAGUGCUCAGCGUGCAGUAAUGGAAGGAUGCAGCCAUCGGAACACAAGAUAGCCAGUCCACAGUGCCACCACAACUUGCCAUUUGGUCUUCUAGAUGUGAAAGCUCCCAUACUCAAGGAUUUCAUCUAGUACAACAUUUAUUGAAAGUGUUAUAUACUUAGCUUUCUACAGCUUUUUCUGAUGCAAUCAAGCAUAAGCGGCCAAAGUUUCAUAUGUUGCAGGCCAAGCUAGAUAGAGAAAAUUAUAUACAUUUAUGUGUGAAAGGUAGGGGGCAGAGGAAUAGGGGAAGAGUUACAGUUGUGUGAAUUUUCCUGAAAAGACAUGAAUGACUGAGCAUCUGCUUGCCCCAGAUACAGAACCAACAUGAGACCAGCAUAAUGGUUUCAUUAAGUCUGACAUGGUGGACCAAUGAGUUUACCAGGGUCACUUACAGGAGCUCAAGUGACUCCAAGACAGCUGCAUCGCUGAAAAGCCACCCAGGAUGGAGCUCUGUGAAUGACUUGCGGGCAAGUCAACACAUCACAGAGUCUCCUCCAGGUACCUUGGCUGAGGUUCUCCCCAGCAGCUGCUGAUGCUUCCCUAACUUUGGGGAGGGGCCCUGUGAAUCUAUUGGUUUCAGGAAUUUCCUGUGAUGUGUGAAUUGUUUCCUACCUGAGUCCCAUAAGCCUCCCUUACUCUCCUGGAGGAGAUUUUCAAUUUGGAAGAAAUGAUUACACAAUACCAUAAACACGCAUGUGUUUUACAGAAAGAGCCCCACUCAGCUGAAUGUUGUGUUUGGUGGACUGCCAUUGAGUGUGUUUCUAUUCUAGUUUGUCUGACAUUGGGGAGGCAAGAUUGACAAGCCUAACAGAAUAUUUCCAACAAGCUUUCCAAGGUCUAGUGGAAGGCAGUGAUGUCCCUUAUGUUCUAAGUCCCAGAACAUUGUGAAUACUCCCAGACACAAAGGAAGGAGCUGCUAACUUGGCCCAGGAGGAGGGGCAUGGAGUAGUCCACUAGGAAGACCAUUCUUGAUGUGGGCCUCUUAGGAUGACUUCAACAUGUUCAAGGGAGAAAAGGGAGGAUUCCAGGGAAAAGACAAAUAAAACGAAAUGGUACCUGCUCACACACAGGAGUGACAAAGAGCAAAUCCCACCAAGGAAAUAAGGAAUUGUAUGUAACAAUGGAAACUGGGAGUAGGAACGUCCUGAAGCAUAAAGGAGCCUGCAAAGUCCAUUGGAGUCCAGGUCAGGAGCUGAGAUUCUAUUAAGAAGAGUGUAGGGCCCUGCGACAAGGAAGAAUUUUACUGUUAGAAAGAUGUCUCCAUGAGAACGACUAAGAUUCAUUACAUAAAUGUGUGAAACUCUCAAACAA
Peromyscus eremicus (cactus mouse) is the source of this 2197-nucleotide long non-coding RNA. RefSeq lists it as uncharacterized. The transcript is spliced from 2 exons. The record is from RefSeq and is a predicted model, not a curated record. Lineage: Eukaryota; Metazoa; Chordata; Mammalia; Rodentia; Cricetidae.